This 446-nucleotide ribosomal RNA is filed under the name uncultured bacterium. RNAcentral's name for it is "partial 16S ribosomal RNA". It matches the Rfam family "Bacterial small subunit ribosomal RNA", at positions 338 to 795 of the family's 1533-position model. The record is from RNAcentral.
CCUACGGGUGGCUGCAGUCGAGAAUCAUUCACAAUGGGGGAAACCCUGAUGGUGCGACGCCGCGUGGGGGAAUGAAGGUCUUCGGAUUGUAAACCCUUGUCAUGUGGGAGCCAAUUAAAAAGAUAGUACCACAAGAGGAAGAGACGGAUAACUCUGUGCCAGCAGCCGCGGUAAUACAGAGGUCUCAAGCGUUGUUCGGAAUCACUGGGCGUAAGGCGUGCGUAGGCUGUUUCGUAAGUCGUGUGUGAAAGGCGCGGGCACAACCCGCGGACGGCACAUGAUACUGCGAGACUAGAGUAAUGGAGGGGGAACCGGAAUUCUCGGUGUAGCAGUGAAAUGCGUAGAUAUCGAGAGGAACACUCGUGGCGAAGGCGGGUUCCUGGACAUUAACUGACGCUGAGGCACGAAGGCCAGGGGAGCGAAAGGGAUUAGAUACCCCGGUAGUC